UGGUGACUGAGUACUGAGAGCACUA
RNAcentral lists this non-coding RNA (25 nucleotides) under Rattus norvegicus (Norway rat). The record is from RNAcentral. Lineage: Eukaryota; Metazoa; Chordata; Mammalia; Rodentia; Muridae.